GAUGCAAACAGCAAGAGGAUUUUUAUUCCAAGCGCACUGGGGCCCACAGUCAUACACCACGCAGGGGUAGAGGACUGCGGCGGCGAGUGUGGAGUCGGGACAGCUUUUAUGGGGUUCACAACAAAGCCCGCGCUUCGUGGACCAAUUAAUUUAAAUUGUUUUGGAGUUACACAUUUGUGCAUGUUUCGGGGAGACAUGUUGUCACCAAGAUAUGUGUAUCAACGUUUCAACAUCUUUAUGGCGCAACCAAUUUGAGGUUGCUUUAGAGAUUAACCUCCUCUCCUUUUAUCUUUUGCAAGCAGUUUUACAGAAGCUGAACAAGCAGUUAGAAACUCCCUUUUCUUGUUAUCUCAAAUAGUUUCAAGAAGUUUCAUGCCUAGAGACACGUACUCAGGGCCUAUUUUACUUCCGCAUAUUUUAAAACAGCAAAAAACCUAACCUUUUACCUAUAAGGAACAAACUCUGGAAUUCAGAACAAUUUUAAGCUUCUCAUUAGCUUAGGUUGUAUUUUCAUCCUUUCAUUCCCCACUUCUUCUCUUGUUAAUAGUUCUAAUCUUAGAACUGGUAGAGCUAGCGGCCAGCUUUCCUGCUAGACGGGCUUUGGUACUGUUGUCUAAGUACCAUGAUCUGGACUGUACUUAGUCUAACGUAGACUGAAUCUCCCACUUGGAAACGAUGUGGGAUCUGCAAGUCUCCUUCUCCUGAGUAGGCCUCCCGGAGUUGUCUCCAUGUUCGUUGUCUCACCCACUCAAGUGCCUUGAGCCUGGAGAACAAAGGCUGGGAAAGCAGCGUAUCAGCACUAUGUACAGAAGCAACUUUUAUCAAUGGGGGGGGUCCCCCGUAGAGCAAUUCAUAGGGGGUCAACCCAUAUUGUCCAGGGGUGUUCCUAACCCUAAACAGCACAAAGGGCAGGAGAGCUAUCCAAUCAUUAAUGCCAGUCUCCGCGGUCAAUUUAGUAAGGGUCUCUUUAAUGGUUCUAUUUAUCCUCUCUACCUGUCCUGAGCUUCAGGGUCUGUAUGCACAAUGCAGUUUUUAAUCAAUCCCCAAUAUCUUGGCCAGUCCCUGACUUACCUGGGCAACAAAAGCUGGACCAUUGUCUGACCCUAUUACCUUAGGUAUUCCAAAUCUUGGAAAAAUUUUUUCCAGUAUUUUCUUAGCCACCACGGUUGAAGUCUCUUUUUUAGUAGGAUAAGCCUCUACCUAUCCUGAAAAGGUGUCUACAAAAACCAAUAGGUAUUUGUUUCCGUAUUUAGCCAGCUUUACCUCAGUGAAGUCCACUUCCCAGUGAGCGCCUGGCGGUAUGUCUGUAAGGUCCUUGCGGACCCCAGUCUCCUCAAUCAAUAAUUGAUGGCAAUCAUGAGUCACUGGUUCAUCAGUCUCUUCAGGCAGAAGAGUGGCAGGGUUGAGAGCGGCUGGUGGAGCGAAC
RNAcentral lists this long non-coding RNA (1426 nucleotides) under Sus scrofa (pig). Its description in RNAcentral is "lncRNA (ENSSSCG00035074640.1)". The record is from RNAcentral. Lineage: Eukaryota; Metazoa; Chordata; Mammalia; Artiodactyla; Suidae.